UACGUAGGGGGCGAGCGUUGUCCGGAAUUAUUGGGCGUAAAGAGCGCGCAGGCGGUCGUUCAAGUCGCGUGUGAAAGCCCCCGGCUCAACUGGGGAGGGUCACGCGAUACUGAUCGACUCGAAGGCAGGAGAGGGUAGUGGAAUUCCCGGUGUAGUGGUGAAAUGCGUAGAUAUCGGGAGGAACACCAGUGGCGAAGGCGACUACCUGGCCUGUUCUUGACGCUGAGGCGCGAAAGCUAGGGGAGCAAACGGG
This 253-nucleotide ribosomal RNA is filed under the name uncultured bacterium. RNAcentral's name for it is "partial 16S ribosomal RNA". It matches the Rfam family "Bacterial small subunit ribosomal RNA", at positions 524 to 776 of the family's 1533-position model. The record is from RNAcentral.